RNAcentral lists this transfer RNA (62 nucleotides) under Lycodon rufozonatus (red-banded snake). RNAcentral's name for it is "tRNA-Tyr". RNAcentral also lists the same sequence under 1 other name. The record is from RNAcentral. Lineage: Eukaryota; Metazoa; Chordata; Lepidosauria; Squamata; Colubridae.
GGUAGUAUGGCUGAUUUAGGCGGUAAUCUGUAAAAUUAUUAAUAGGACAUUCCUUGCUACCA